UAGGGAAUCUUCCACAAUGGACGCAAGUCUGAUGGAGCAACGCCGCGUGAGUGAAGAAGGGUUUCGGUUCGUAAAGCUCUGUUGUUAAAGAAGAACGUGGGUAAGAGUAACUGUUUACCCAGUGACGGUAUUUAACCAGAAAGCCACGGCUAACUACGUGCAG
Molecule: ribosomal RNA, 163 nt
Filed under: uncultured bacterium
Lineage: Bacteria
Description: partial 16S rRNA
Rfam family: Bacterial small subunit ribosomal RNA
Source: RNAcentral